Molecule: long non-coding RNA, 432 nt
Filed under: Callithrix jacchus (white-tufted-ear marmoset)
Lineage: Eukaryota; Metazoa; Chordata; Mammalia; Primates; Cebidae
Description: lncRNA (ENSCJAG00000065674.2)
Source: RNAcentral
CUGGGAAAGAGAUUGUGGAAAAGGCAAGUAGAGAAUAAAAUGGAAGGACUCAUGCUGUAUUGAUAACUUUCGACUGGUUUAGUUAUUUAAACAAGAAAACCAAACCGUUUGAUUUUUUAAAAUUACAUUAUUAGUGGUUUGCCUGAACUGACUAGCUAUUUGGUCAAAAAGAGUGGAUAAAUUGUGGGUAUGUAGACAAGAUACAUAUAGUAUGCUGAUGAAAGUCACACAUUCUUAUUGCUGGUUCAGUUUAGAUGCUCAAUAACGCACAGCUGUGAUGUCUCUUGUCCAAUAAUCAUGGGACUGCUCCUGUUGCCAACUUUGCCUGUAGUUCACCAAAGUCAAGUUGCCCAAGCCACUAUGCAAGAAAUGCCUUUUGCCCUCUGCCAUGAUUGUGAGACCUCUCCAGCCAUGUGGAACUCUGCCAUGUAA